RNAcentral lists this ribosomal RNA (429 nucleotides) under Bacteroidota bacterium. Its description in RNAcentral is "Bacteroidetes bacterium partial 16S ribosomal RNA". It matches the Rfam family "Bacterial small subunit ribosomal RNA", at positions 355 to 776 of the family's 1533-position model. The record is from RNAcentral. Lineage: Bacteria; Pseudomonadati; Bacteroidota.
UAGGGAAUCUUCCGCAAUGGACGCAAGUCUGACGGAGCAACGCCGCGUGAGUGAAGAAGGAUUUCGGUUCGUAAAACUCUGUUGUUAGAGAAGAACAGCGCAUAGAGUAACUGUUAUGCGUGUGACGGUAUCUAACCAGAAAGCCACGGCUAACUACGUGCCAGCAGCCGCGGUAAUACGUAGGUGGCAAGCGUUGUCCGGAUUUAUUUGGCGUAAAGCGAGCGCAGGCGGUCAAUUAAGUCUGAUGUGAAAGCCCCCGGCGCAACCGGGGGGGGUCAUUGGAAACUGGUGGACUUGAGUGCAGAAGGGGGGGGUGGAAUUCCAUGUGGAGGGGUGAAAUGCGUAGAUAUAAGGAGGAACGCCAGUGGCGAAGGCGACUCUCUGGUCUGUAACUAACGCUGAGGUUCAAAAGCGUGGGUAGCAAACAGG